RNAcentral lists this non-coding RNA (20 nucleotides) under Arabidopsis thaliana (thale cress). The record is from RNAcentral. Lineage: Eukaryota; Viridiplantae; Streptophyta; Magnoliopsida; Brassicales; Brassicaceae.
UGGUGACAAGGUUGAGUACU